AUUGAACGCUGGCGGCAGGCCUAACACAUGCAAGUCGAGCGGCAGCGACAUAAACAAUCCUUCGGGUGCGUUUGUGGGCGGCGAGCGGCGGACGGGUGAGUAAUGCCUGGGAAUAUGCCCUGAUGUGGGGGAUAACCAUUGGAAACGAUGGCUAAUACCGCAUAAUCUCCUUUCUUUUACGAGAAGGGAGCAAAGAGGGGGACCUUCGGGCCUCUCGCGUCAGGAUUAGCCCAGGUGGGAUUAGCUAGUUGGUGGGGUAACGGCUCACCAAGGCGACGAUCCCUAGCUGGUCUGAGAGGAUGAUCAGCCACACUGGAACUGAGACACGGUCCAGACUCCUACGGGAGCAGCAGUGGGGAAUAUUGCACAAUGGGGGAAACCCUGAUGCAGCCAUGCCGCGUGUGUGAAGAAGGCCUUCGGGUUGUAAAGCACUUUCAGUCGUG
This 443-nucleotide ribosomal RNA is filed under the name uncultured bacterium. RNAcentral describes it as "bacterial SSU rRNA". It matches the Rfam family "Bacterial small subunit ribosomal RNA", at positions 30 to 444 of the family's 1533-position model. The record is from RNAcentral.